AAUAUGACCUCUUCCCAAGUGACACUGACAUAAGAAAAGUUUGACCAUAAAUAUUCAAUUAAACAAAGCUCACCCUUAUAUUAUCAUCUUAGACAUUAAUGACAAUAAUAUUGCUUCAGACCAAGAAGUGAAUCUCAUAACAACUUUUUCCUUUCUCUGAUUAGAAGGAAAAAUAAUCUGAUAUGCCAAUAUAAAUACUUACACAAAUCAAGAUCCUUCCAAAUAACUAAAGAAAUGAACAUGACAACUAAGAAAUAGUAA
Molecule: unclassified non-coding RNA, 261 nt
Filed under: Hevea brasiliensis (rubber tree)
Lineage: Eukaryota; Viridiplantae; Streptophyta; Magnoliopsida; Malpighiales; Euphorbiaceae
Source: RNAcentral